RNAcentral lists this ribosomal RNA (499 nucleotides) under uncultured bacterium. RNAcentral's name for it is "partial 16S ribosomal RNA". It matches the Rfam family "Bacterial small subunit ribosomal RNA", at positions 30 to 523 of the family's 1533-position model. The record is from RNAcentral.
AUUGAACGCUGGCGGUAUGCUUAACACAUGCAAGUCGAACGAUGAGAAAGAGCUUGCUCUUUCGAUUAGUGGCGGACGGGUGCGUAACGCGUAGGAAUCUACCUAUUAGUGGGGGACAACUUAGGGAAACUUAAGCUAAUACCGCAUACGCCCUACGGGGGAAAGAAGGGGAUCGCAAGACCUUUUGCUAAUAGAUGAGCCUGCGUAGGAUUAGCUAGUUGGUGGGGUAAAAGCUCACCAAGGCGACGAUCCUUAACUGGUUUGAGAGAAUGAUCAGUCACACUGGAACUGGGACACGGUCCAGACUCCUGCGGGAGGCAGCAGUGGGGAAUAUUGGACAAUGGGCGAAAGCCUGAUCCAGCAAUACCGCGUGUGUGAAGAAGGCCUUAGGGUUGUAAAGCACUUUCAAUUGGAAGGAAAACCUCGAAGCUAAUACCUUCGAGUUUGACAUUACCUUUAGAAGAAGCACCGGCUAACUCCGUGCCAGCAGCCGCCGUAA